GGUGCCGGGAGUUGGAGCACCUGCUUGCCGUUUGUGCCCUCCACAGGGACGGGUCCAGAAUUGUCACCUGGUUUUCCUACCUCUCAGGACUGUCCUCUACCUUUCCAAACCUGUACAUGCUCAGAUGGUCCCAAAGCAGUUAUCUCAGAGAUCAUUUUCUGAGACACAGGAAGAUCUCUGUUCAGCAGGCAUUUAUCUGCUUCAAGUCGGAAAGACAGAUCUCGGCCUCACGUCCUGCAUGCUUCCUCUGCUGGAGAGACAGGAAGCCAGCUUGAAGGCGGCUCCACUCAAAAGCCACGCAAGAAAAAUCCUUCCUCAGACCCCUCAUGUGAGUCAGUGCUCAGGAGGACACAGAUGCACAGCUGGGGAUGGAGCGGAGGGACGGACUCCUGCACUAAGUGCUACGUGACACAUUCCAGAUCGCUUCCUAAAUAACUGCCUCCGAUUGGAAGAGCCUACUUCCGGGCGCCCGAUUCUUUCACUGAACGGCAGGAGAGGCGCGUUAUCUCAGAGCACAGCACACCUGCCUCUCAAGGCACCCCUGUGGUCCCUAGGGGGAUCCUCUCCUCCCUGACAACUCAUAUGCCUCUUUUGCUCAAUAGAUGCAGACAAUCUAAUUCUACUUUGAUCUCCUUUUUCCUUUCUCUUCUAAACCAUAGGGUGUUUUCCUACCCUAGCCACCCCCCCGCGACCACGAAAACCAUGAAGCUUCAAGCGCUGGUGAUGUACCCACAUCAGAUCCUCCUGAUGGCACACACGCCUCUCCCAGGUCCUGCGGGCAGAAGCGUCGGGGCUGCUGGGCACGGGGAAGGCAUCCUUGGGCUGCUGGGAGCCAUGAGGACAGAUGCAAUGCCAAGGACUUCAGUGUAGCUGCAUGAGCCAUGUCCUAAGAAGUGCCUCCGUGGGUGCAGCGAGAUGCGAGUUUUCAAGAUGAGAGAGAUCAUCACAUUCUUUCUCCCCACCAUGCCCACAGUCUUCUGGCUGAAGCCUUGCAUGCUAAACAUAUCAUCUCUGUUUCUAUGUUGGUCUCAGAACGCACUGCCUUUCCUGCUGACUGCAGUGAAAACCGGUUGGUUAAUUCUGCUUUUCACAGUCUGUCUGCGUUUCUACUUGCUUUCCUCAUCAGGGACAUUUCCCUGAGAAAGACAGGAGAGGAUAAUUGGCUCAUCAGUAUGGAGAACAGCAUCCUGCAGGGACGUUGGGGAGAUCAGAGGCCACGCUGCAGAUGGCCCCACCCUCCACGCCGUCCUCCUGCGAACAUGCAAGCCCGUGUUCCACAAAUCCUCAGGCUGUGCUGGCAACUUGGGGCCUUGAAAGAAAACACACCCUGGGCACUUUACCAUGAAGAAAGAAAUGUUUCUGUGAGAAGGAUUUUGUACAGCAUGAGUUUUGCCUGGAAUUCCCUUUAAAUAAAGGGGGUGGGGAGUGGAAACGCCCUGUUAGAAAACUGACCUAUGCACAGGACCGAUUCACGAAGAGGACAGAGCCUGAAAUUAGAAUUGUACAGGCACAGAUUGCUGGCCAUCAUGGUGAUCCCACAGCCGACAGUAGAGUCAUGGCACUCCUCCAACAAAGGUAGCCCGUUUGGCUCCCCACCCUGUCCCCACACUAACUCUGCCUCAGGGCAGCCUCCAUGUCCUGCCAGAGCAGUCAUAGCCAUCAGGUCAUGCAUGGAGAAGGUCCUGACGUGACCACGCAGAUACGCAGAUUCCAUCCCAAGCAGCUCCCUCUUCUAGACGCCAGCAGCCCAGGAUGCCAAGGCAGGCUGUUGGCUCAUUGAUCUGGAGAACUCAACACAGGAAGCCAGGGAGACUUUAGAAAAGGAAGACACCUGCAUUUCACCUGACUUAACCUCAUGACCAAGUGGCAAGGCAGCCUUGAGAUCCAAUAAAGAGCAGUGAAGACAGGACCUCAUCUAUUCUCCAAAAUAUUCCAGAAACAGAGCAUCUAAAGAAACACCUGCGUGCAAAAGACAGCCAUAUACACGGAAGCUUCCUUUACCCUAGAACGCACACUGCUAGGCUCUGCCACGUGAAAGGCUGGUUUCUGCCUAUGGGAAGAGGCAGUGGCUACCAUAAAGAAUAUCCAUAUGUGUGUAUGUACAUUUAUUUAGAGAUAGUUAGUAGACUAGAGUAUGCAUAUAAACCAUAACUUGUUAGGCAUCAUAUACCCAUCUCAUAUAUAUUUCUCAAAGCACAGGAAUCCAAAUAAUAUUUAUCAUAACAUAAAAAGAUCUGAGAGUAGAAAAAUCUAUGACUAUUACACAAUAACUUUCUUAACUUUAGGAUAACAAGGCAGUUUUUAAUUAGCGUGGACUUAGACUGUAACGGUGUAUUCUGAAAACAAAAUUCUUCACGCGAAAGAGCAGCCUAUGAUAGGUCUACUGUACAACAAACACGACUUUGCUUAAUUAAAUAGGAGCUUCAUCUGAAAUGGG
This is a long non-coding RNA of Callithrix jacchus (white-tufted-ear marmoset), 2437 nucleotides long. RefSeq lists it as uncharacterized. The record is from RefSeq and is a predicted model, not a curated record. Lineage: Eukaryota; Metazoa; Chordata; Mammalia; Primates; Cebidae.